RNAcentral lists this ribosomal RNA (497 nucleotides) under uncultured bacterium. RNAcentral describes it as "partial 16S ribosomal RNA". It matches the Rfam family "Bacterial small subunit ribosomal RNA", at positions 28 to 507 of the family's 1533-position model. The record is from RNAcentral.
GAUGAACGCUGGCGGCGUGCCUAAUACAUGCAAGUCGAGCGAACAGACGAGGAGCUUGCUCCUCUGACGUUAGCGGCGGACGGGUGAGUAACACGUGGAUAACCUACCUAUAAGACUGGGAUAACUUCGGGAAACCGGAGCUAAUACCGGAUAAUAUAUUGAACCGCAUGGUUCAAUAGUGAAAGACGGUUUUGCUGUCACUUAUAGAUGUAUCCGCGCCGCAUUAGCUAGUUGGUAAGGUAACGGCUUACCAAGGCAACGAUGCGUAGCCGACCUGAGAGGGUGAUCGGCCACACUGGAACUGAGACACGGUCCAGACUCCUACGGGAGGCAGCAGUAGGAAAUCUUCCGCAAUGGGCGAAAGCCUGACGGAGCAACGCCGCGUGAGUGAUGAAGGUCUUCGGAUCGUAAAACUCUGUUAUUAGGGAAGAACAAAUGUGUAAGUAACUAUGCACGUCUUGACGGUACCUAAUCAGAAAGCCACGGCUAACUACGUG